AGGGUUCGAUUCUGGCUCAGGAUGAACGCUAGCGACAGGCUAACACAUGCAAGUCGAGGGGCAGCACGGGAGUAGCAAUACUUGGUGGCGACCGGCGCACGGGUGAGUAACGCGUAUGCAACCUGCCUAUCAGAGGGGAAUAACCCGGCGAAAGUCGGACUAAUACCGCAUAAACAGGGGCACCGCAUGGUGAUAUUUGUUAAAGAAAUUCGCUGAUAGAUGGGCAUGCGUUCCAUUAGGUAGUUGGUGAGGUAACGGCUCACCAAGCCGACGAUGGAUAGGGAACUGAGAGGUUGGUCCCCCACACUGGUACUGAGACACGGACCAGACUCCUACGGGAGGCAGCAGUGAGGAAUAUUGGUCAAUGGGCGGGAGCCUGAACCAGCCAAGUCGCGUGAAGGAAGAAGGAUCUAUGGUUCGUAAACUUCUUUUGCAGGGGAAUAAAGUGCAGGACGUGUCCUGUUUUGUAUGUACCCUGAGAAUAAGGAUCGGCUAACUCCGUGCCAGCAGCCGC
Molecule: ribosomal RNA, 514 nt
Filed under: uncultured bacterium
Lineage: Bacteria
Description: bacterial SSU rRNA
Rfam family: Bacterial small subunit ribosomal RNA
Source: RNAcentral